RNAcentral lists this ribosomal RNA (484 nucleotides) under uncultured bacterium. Its description in RNAcentral is "partial 16S ribosomal RNA". It matches the Rfam family "Bacterial small subunit ribosomal RNA", at positions 28 to 523 of the family's 1533-position model. The record is from RNAcentral.
GACGAACGCUGGCGGCGUGCUUAACACAUGCAAGUCGAACGAUGAAGCCGGAGCUUGCUCUGGUGAAUUAGUGGCGAACGGGUGAGUAACACGUGAGUAACCUGCCCUUGACUCUGGGAUAACUGCUAGAAAUGGUAGCUAAUACCGGAUACGACCCUCGGAGGCAUCUCCAGGGGGUGGAAAGAAUUUCGGUCAAGGAUGGACUCGCGGCCUAUCAGCUAGUUGGUGAGGUAAUGGCUCACCAAGGCGACGACGGGUAGCCGGCCUGAGAGGGUGACCGGCCACACUGGGACUGAGACACGGCCCAGACUCCUACGGGAGGCGGCAGUGGGGAAUAUUGCACAAUGGGCGCAAGCCUGAUGCAGCAACGCCGCGUGAGGAAUGACGGCCUUCGGGUUGUAAACCUCUUUUAGUAGGGAAGAAGCGAAAGUGACGGUACCUGCAGAAAAAGCACCGGCUAACUACGUGCCAGCAGCCGCCGCAG